GCUGGCGGCGUGCCUAACACAUGCAAGUCGAACGAGAAAGCAUCCUUCGGGAAGUGAGUAGAGUGGCGAACGGGUGAGUAACGCGUGGGUAACCUGCCCUUGGGCGUGGGAUAACACGAGGAAACUGGUGCUAAUACCGCAUAAGUCUGGUCGACGAGAGUUGGCCAGGGAAAGCCCUUCGGGGCGACCGAGGAGGGGCCCGCGUCCGAUUAGCUAGUUGGUGGAGUAAAGGUUCACCAAGGCGACAAUCGGUAGCCGGUCUGAGAGGACGGACGGCCACACUGGGACUGAGACACGGCCCANACUCCUACGGGAGGCAGCAGUGGGGAAUUUUGCGCAAUGGGGGAAACCCUGACGCAGCAACGCCGCGUGAAGGAAGAAGGCUUUCGAGUCGUAAACUUCUGUUUCGGGGGACGAAUUAUUGACGGUACCCCGGCAGCAAGCCCCGGCUAACUCCGUGCCAGCAGCCGCGGUAAU
This 477-nucleotide ribosomal RNA is filed under the name uncultured bacterium. Its description in RNAcentral is "bacterial SSU rRNA". It matches the Rfam family "Bacterial small subunit ribosomal RNA", at positions 35 to 524 of the family's 1533-position model. The record is from RNAcentral.